UCGGAUGGAAGCGUACCCGAAAGGGUGCGUGGAAGCCGGCGGACAUCUAGAACUCUUGUUAAUUUUGUUAUUCUGAAUCAAACUAAGAAAUAAGUUAAAACUUUCAACAACGGAUCUCUUGGUUCUGGCAUCGAUGAAGAACGCAGCGAAAUGCGAUAAGUAAUGUGAAUUGCAGAAUUCAGUGAAUCAUCGAAUCUUUGAACGCACAUUGCGCCCAUUAGUAUUCUAGUGGGCAUGCCUGUUCGAGCGUCAUUUCAACCCUUAAGCCUAGCUUAGUGUUGGGAGACUGCCUAAUACGCAGCUCCUCAAAACCAGUGGCAGAGUUUUUACGUACUCUGAGCGCAGUAAUUCUAUUCUCGCUUUUGAACACGUCUAGACAUAGCCAAAAACCGCUUGCCUCGGCAGCACUUUUAAUGGUUGACCUCGGAUCAGGUAGGAAUACCCGCUGAAACUUAAGCAUAUCAA
RNAcentral lists this ribosomal RNA (465 nucleotides) under Microdochium phragmitis. Its description in RNAcentral is "eukaryotic LSU rRNA". The stretch from base 99 to 252 matches the Rfam family "5.8S ribosomal RNA". Lineage: Eukaryota; Fungi; Ascomycota; Sordariomycetes; Xylariales; Microdochiaceae. The record is from RNAcentral.